AGCGAACGCUGGCGGCAGGCUUAACACAUGCAAGUCGAACGGGCAUAGCAAUAUGUCAGUGGCAGACGGGUGAGUAACGCGUGGGAACAUACCUCUUGGUUCGGAGCAACACAGGGAAACUUGUGCUAAUACCGGAUAAGCCCUUACGGGAAGAUUUAUCGCCGAGAGAUUGGCCCGCGUCUGAUUAGCUAGUUGGUGUGGUAAAGACGCACCAAGGCGACGAUCAGUAGCUGGUCUGAGAGGAUGAUCAGCCACAUUGGGGACUNAGACACGGCCCAAACUACCUACGGGAGGGCAGCAGUGGGGAAGUAUUGGACGAAUGGGCGGCAAGCCUGAUCCAGCCAUGCCGCGUGAGUGAUGAAGG
RNAcentral lists this ribosomal RNA (364 nucleotides) under uncultured bacterium. RNAcentral's name for it is "bacterial SSU rRNA". It matches the Rfam family "Bacterial small subunit ribosomal RNA", at positions 29 to 414 of the family's 1533-position model. The record is from RNAcentral.